Nomascus leucogenys (northern white-cheeked gibbon) is the source of this 3132-nucleotide RNA transcript. It is a transcript of the gene named TERF1 interacting nuclear factor 2, with no coding region annotated. NCBI's taxonomy places the organism in Eukaryota, Metazoa, Chordata, Mammalia, Primates, Hylobatidae. The transcript has 10 exons. The record is from RefSeq and is a predicted model, not a curated record.
CGCGCGCAGCGGGGAAGGCUUUGUAGACGCCGGCUCGGGUCUGGGAUUUAAAGAACUGAAUUUCGAUGGGUGAAGACAGUGGGAAAGGGCGGUGGCAUGAUCCUUGUUUUACAGACUAGGAAAUCGAGCCUCAGGGGAGUGACGGGGCUUCUCCGCAGGCUCCGCGAAGAAAGCGAGGGUGGGAGGACCCAGACGAGCGGCCACAACAGCCUCAGCGGCCACAACAGCUUCAGCGCCCACAACAGCUUCAGCGGCCAACUCAUGUCAGCCGGCAGAGGGCGCAGGGAGCGGGCAGCUCCAGCUCCGCUGGGGCGUGGCCUUCUGACGCACCGACACAGUUCCCUCUGUGGCCACCCAUUGGCUCCCUCUUACCGCCCUUUUCCGGGGCAAGGGAAGCUAGUAGCGGAGCCGGAAGUGAGUUACCCUCGGGCUCGAGACAGCAGCGGCGUUUAAAGCUGAGCGACCCAGUGCCACUGGAGACGGUCAGCUUCUCCACUCAGGCUCCUCCAGCCCAAGCCAGAAGACCCCCUCCCCCAGAAUUCUGGGGGCCUAUGGAAGGGAGCCGAGUCAGAUCGCGAGGUACCCAGAGCCGAGCCACAGGGCGUUGCCAGAAGCCCCGCCCCUAGGAGUGAUCGGAAAGCCUCACCCAUCCGGGUGAGGAACCUGGAGGGACCGCCUCGGGGCGGAGCCCGCCGACCAUGGCUACGCCCCCGGUGGCCGGUCCCGCAGCUCUACGCUUUGCCGCCGCGGCUAGCUGGCAGGUUGUGCGCGGACGCUGCGUGGAACAUUUUCCGCGAGUACUGGAGUUUCUGCGAUCUCUGCGCGCUGUUGCCCCUGGCUUGGUUCGCUACCGGCACCACGAACGCCUUUGUAUGGGCCUAAAGGCCAAGGUGGUGGUGGAGCUGAUCCUGCAGGGCCGGCCUUGGGCCCAAGUCCUGAAAGCCCUGAAUCACCACUUUCCAGAAUCUGGACCUAUAGUGCGGGAUCCCAAGGCUACAAAGCAGGAUCUGAGGAAGAUUUUGGAAGCACAGGAAACUUUUUACCAGCAGGUGAAGCAGCUGUCAGAGGCUCCUGUGGAUUUGGCCUCGAAGCUGCAGGAACUUGAACAAGAGUAUGGGGAACCCUUUCUGGCUGCCAUGGAAAAGUUGCUUUUUGAAUACUUGUGUCAGCUGGAGAAAGCACUGCCUACACCGCAGGCACAGCAGCUUCAGGAUGUGCUGAGUUGGAUGCAGCCUGGAGCCUCUAUCACCUCUUCUCUUGCCUGGAGACAAUAUGGUGUGGACAUGGGGUGGCCACUUCCAGAGUGCUCUGUUACUGACUCAGUGAACCUGGCUGAGCCCAUGGAACAGAAUCCUCCUCAGCAACAAAGACUAGCACUCCACAAUCCUCUGCCAAAAGCCAAGCCUGGCACACGCCUUCCUCAGGGACCAUCUUCAAGGACGCACCCAGCACCUCUAGCUGGCCGACACUUCAAUCUGGCCCCCCUAGGCCGACGAAGAGUCCAGUCCCAAUGGGCCUCCACUAGGGGAGGCCAUAAGGAGCGCCCCACAGUCAUGCUGUUUCCCUUUAGGAAUCUCGGCUCACCAACCCAGGUCAUAUCUAAGCCUGAGAGCAAGGAAGAACAUGCGAUAUACACAGCAGACCUAGCCAUGAGCACAAGAGCAGCCUCCACUGGGAAGUCUAAGAGUCCAUGCCAGACCCUGGGGGGAAGGGCUCUGAAGGAGAACCCAGUUGACUUGCCUGCCACAGAGCAAAAGGAGAAUUGCUUGGAUUGCUACACGGACCCCCUGAGACUAUCAUUAUUACCUCCUAGGGCCAGGAAGCCAGUGGGCAGAUGUCUAUGUACCACAGCUAGUACUUGUCAGAUUUCCCACCAAAGUACUGAGUGAUCUGGGUUGGAUUUCAUCUGCCAGCACAUUCACUGCUUCUGACUUAAAAGGUGACAAGCUGCUGGUGCAGUGGGACAGGCAGCAGACAUGAAAGAACCAUGAAGAGGCUGGAUGGAGCCUGUGUUUUUCUGCACUGACUCAGCCCCUCUCCUAAGCUCAACAGAUUGCAAACAAUAUCCCAAUACUUUGAGGAAGGCAUUCAAAGGCCGUUGUGAAUGCUAGUGUUUGUGCUUUAUAUGUCUACAUGCAAACAGACAAGAGACAGCAGUUGGCUGAAACAGCACAAACCUUGCAACUGACAAGAAACCCAAGGAAGUCAUGUAUUAGCUAGCAACAAGCAAGUGCUCUACAUACGUAUUCAGAGAUCAACAAUAUCUAGCUAAAGCUGGUAUUGAAUUCUGCUUUCUCAACAACUCUAUCAUCAACAUACUGAUAAGCAAAGAAAAGUCACUAUAAGAUAGGAAGUCAGCAGACGUUGGAGAUAUACUGGCAGAGUGUGGCAUGAUGAGCACAUCAGAUUACAUACCAAGCUUAGAAAAAGAUGUUUGCUUGCAUCCAACCUUUUUAUUACAGUAAGACUUUGCUCUUAUCUCUAAAACCUGAUUUCUUUACCUCUCAUCAGCAAUACUGAAAGCCAGGCUCCACAUAAAGCAUUAAGACAGUCCCCAAAACGGUUCAUGUAUUACAGCACGUCUGUUAACUCUGCAGUCAGAGUCACCAUUUCUGAACUCUACUGGUCAGGGCAGAUGGACAGUGGGCAACAGAAAGAUUCCUAAGCAGUUACUGAAUGACAAUAAAAAUAAAGUAAAAAUAAAACUGCACAACUAUCAACCUCAAAGAAAUGACAAGACAUUCCACAAAGACACAGCAAUCAAAAAUAGAAAAAGGAUAUGAAGUCCUUAAGACUAAUGAAGCCACAAACAAUAGCAGAAUUCAUCAACCAAGGCUACAUGGAUCAACCAGCAGAGUGCAUAUAUUCUCAAAGUGCCCAGAUAACUCUCUACCUUCUCAGCAACAAGUAUAGAGGCAGGUAAUAGUACUGACAGGAGCAGCAUCUUCCAUUUCAAAGUGAACAACUUGUAUAUAAGAAAAACACAUCCCAUUUGGGGCACAUCCCAGAAACUCCCAGGAACCUAGGACUUAAAGAAGAGGAAGAUUAAAAAAAGAAGAAGAAUGGCAGAAUUAUUCUUUUAUUAAUGAAUUGUUCUUAUUAAAGAAAAUUAAUAAGUUGCUUCUCCUAGGA